GGGACGGUAGCUCAGUUGGGAGAGCGCCUGCUUUGCACGCAGGAGGUAGCGGGUUCGAAUCCCGUCCGUUCCACCA
This 76-nucleotide transfer RNA is filed under the name Bacillota bacterium. RNAcentral's name for it is "tRNA-Ala". It matches the Rfam family "tRNA". From Rfam's summary of the family: Transfer RNA (tRNA) molecules are approximately 80 nucleotides in length. Their secondary structure includes four short double-helical elements and three loops (D, anti-codon, and T loops). Lineage: Bacteria; Bacillati; Bacillota. The record is from RNAcentral.